GAUGAACGCUGGCGGCGUGCCUAAUACAUGCAAGUCGAGCGAACGGACGCGACGCUUGCUUCUCUGAUGUUAGCGGCGGACGGGUGAGUAACACGUGGAUAACCUACCUAUAAGACUGGGAUAACUUCGGGAAACCGGAGCUAAUACCGGAUAAUAUUUUGAACCGCAUGGUUCAAAAGUGAAAGACGGUCUUGCUGUCACUUAUAGAUGGAUCCGCGCUGCAUUAGCUAGUUGGUAAGGUAACGGCUUACCAAGGCAACGAUGCAUAGCCGACCUGAGAGGGUGAUCGGCCACACUGGAACUUAGACACGGUCCAGACUCCUACGGGAGGCAGCAGUAGGGAAUCUUCCGCAAUGGGCGAAAGCCUGACGGAGCAACGCCGCGUGAGUGAUGAAGGUCUUCGGAUCGUAAAACUCUGUUAUUAGGGAAGAACAUAUGUGUAAGUAACUGUGCACAUCUUGACGGUACCUAAUCAGAAAGCCACGGCUAACUACGUG
Molecule: ribosomal RNA, 497 nt
Filed under: uncultured bacterium
Lineage: Bacteria
Description: partial 16S ribosomal RNA
Rfam family: Bacterial small subunit ribosomal RNA
Source: RNAcentral